Molecule: ribosomal RNA, 109 nt
Filed under: Triticum dicoccoides
Lineage: Eukaryota; Viridiplantae; Streptophyta; Magnoliopsida; Poales; Poaceae
Source: RNAcentral
GGAUGCGAUCGUACCAGCACUAAAGCACCGGAUCCCAUCAGAAAUCCGAAGUUAAGCGUGCUUGGGCGAGAGUAGUACUAGGAUGGGUGACCUCCUCGUGUUGCAUUCC